Molecule: small RNA, 785 nt
Filed under: Histoplasma capsulatum var. duboisii H88
Lineage: Eukaryota; Fungi; Ascomycota; Eurotiomycetes; Onygenales; Ajellomycetaceae
Description: Histoplasma capsulatum H88 hypothetical RNA
Source: RNAcentral
GAAACAAAUGGCAAUCAAAAGCGAUACGAAGCACUUCCUCUCCGUGCUGUGAUGCAAUAAAUCUAGACGUCGUCAAAGGGCUGAAGAAACUACUGCUGAUUAGUUGGAUCUACGCCUACUGACAUCGCAAUCAAAUCCCAUUUCAGAAAAGUACCAACAAAUUUUCCAGCCUACCUUGCUUGAGCCCUCUUCGCAUUGUGGAAGUAAAGGGCCAACCGCUUGGCCUGUCCACUUGUUCCUUUGGAGUCAAGAAAAGAAAAUCGGAGCUUCCCUCCAUUCACGAAUGGAGAGGUUCCUUUGGGAUCUUCACAUCGGGAUCAACAAAACAUGUCGCCGGGGAGGGGGGGGUAGGGGGAGGGAUUUUAGCGAAAAUCCCAGGUCAAAAGAAAAGCAAAGCCAUGCAAGAAAAAAUGGACUUUUGUUGAUUGACAACGUCCUGAAUGAUACCAUCACCACCGGAUUGAGACAGAACUAGAACUACUACUCUGGGAUCUACCGAACGUACCAAGUGAUCCAUUUUUUUGAAGGCCGCCUGGGGUUUCUACGUAAGACAUAUCCGUUUCCAACGUGGGUCAUGAUAUCUGGUACUGUUGGUCCUGACCCUUCCCUCUUAUCUACCCAAACCGUUGAUAAUCUCCUUCUCUAGCUCUGACCACUUUAUGAGGAUACUCUCCUUCCAGCCCAUACCAUCAACCUUUUUCACUUCAUUAAUUCCAUUUACCAAAAUAAACAAGAAACGGGUGGUUUUUGUUGCUCGCCUUUGAUACUCCAAAACCCAUAUCGCA